GAUCAUAACAAAUCCUUUAAACACACGGGCUUGGUCCCGACCCUAAAAUCAAUUAUUUCUUAACUUACACAUGCAAGUCUCCGCACUCCUGUGAGGACUCCCUUCAACCCCCUCCACCGGGGCAAGGAGCUGAUAUCAGGCACAAUAUAACGCCCAGAACAUCUAGCCACGCCACACCCACAAGGGCAUUCAGCAGUGAUUAACAUUAAAAAUAAACGCCAGUUUGAUCUAGUUAAAGAAAACAGGGCCGGCUAAUCUGGUGCCAGCCGCCGCGGUCACACCAGAGACUCAAUUUGAUUUUACAACGGCGUAAAGCGUGAUUAAAGAAUACGACCACUGAGGUUAAACUUAAAUUAAGCAGUCAAAUGCUUGUUACAAAGAAACCCACACCCGAAAGAUACCUCAUAAGUACUUGAAUUCACUAAAACUAGAACACAAACUGGGAUUAGAUACCCCACUAUCUCUAGUCAUAAACCUUAACUUACUCACACCAA
This 494-nucleotide ribosomal RNA is filed under the name Ischnocnema cf. vinhai CC-2012. Its description in RNAcentral is "partial 12S ribosomal RNA". The record is from RNAcentral. Lineage: Eukaryota; Metazoa; Chordata; Amphibia; Anura; Brachycephalidae.